AUUAAUUUGUCCAUGUCUUUGUUCUGUUUCUCUUGCCCAUGUGUGUCUGUCUCAUUAUGUUUCUACAUCUCCAUGUCUUGUCUACAUCUCUUGGUCUCUCAGAUCGAGAAGGAAUUCUGCAGGAUCACACUGAAGCUAUUGCAGUCCACAUUCCUGGGCAAAUUGGACCAACACACACCCAAGCUGUUGCCUGUACAGGAGGAAGGGUGGAGCCGUUGGGAAGAAACUUGAUGAGACCCUUUGACAUGUUAAAUGAGGCAUGUAUUUACAACAGUGUGGUAGUAAUUAGUUGACGACACAAUUGAGUCGCGAAGAGAAGUUGUGAUCAGAGGACUCACACUCUACCUUGGUGAAUACACUGGAGAGUUAAUGAAGGACUACCAGGUUUUUAAUGACGACGAUGCUGCGACCAUCCAAGAAGCUAUUACUACAUUUGCCCUCGGCAUCUUUGUUGUCAGCAAAGCCAGGGAUGGUCUCCCCA
This is a long non-coding RNA of Alosa alosa (allis shad), 481 nucleotides long. RefSeq lists it as uncharacterized. The record is from RefSeq and is a predicted model, not a curated record. The transcript has 3 exons. Lineage: Eukaryota; Metazoa; Chordata; Actinopteri; Clupeiformes; Clupeidae.